Molecule: long non-coding RNA, 3138 nt
Organism: Hipposideros armiger (great roundleaf bat)
Lineage: Eukaryota; Metazoa; Chordata; Mammalia; Chiroptera; Hipposideridae
Exons: 2
Source: RefSeq, a predicted model, not a curated record
GGCCUUCAUGUGGGAUCUGAACCGGGGUCCUGCUGCUCAGAGCUGGCGUCCCAAGCCAACUCUUGGCCCCUGAUGCUUAUUUCUUUAUUAGCUACUUAACUGUUGGUGUCUUAAUGGGAAAUUUUCAUUUGAUUAGUAAACUCUUUCUGCUAGGUUUAGGGUUUUUGAAUUUUUAUGUUUGGUUGGUUUUGGAGGUCUUGGGGGGGGGCAGGGAGGUGAAACCUAAGAAAUUUCUGCAGUAGAAAAUACCAUGAACCUAUAUAUGUCCCUUAUAAAGUUGUGGCAUUUAGAGGAAUAUUUCAAAACCUAUGUUGGGAGAUAGGCAAAUUAAGCAAAGCAGCCUAACAAAUUCUUUUUUUUUUCAUAGUGAAUUCAUCUUAUAUAUAGAAUAACAAGCACAUUUAGCAGUUUUUGCUAACAUUCUGGGCUUCUUUUCAUUGUGACUGCUUUACAAACUUGAUAAUGUUCCUCCCUGAUAAGAGGCUCACUGGAAUUUAUUUUUGUUUAAAGACAAAUAUUUUUAAUACAGAGAAAAUAAAAGUGGCACAUAUCCCCCCCCCAGAUGGCAAACUCUAAAUUAGCAGUACCCCAUGGCAGCAUUAGAUACCAGCCAUACUAACAGCAUGCAAAUACACUGUUUUUCAUUAAACCUGGCACUUUACAUUGAGAGUGUUUUCAGAUCGGAUCUUAUCUGGGUGGGUUUCAUGUGAUUGAACUAAUAUAUAAAUAUUUGCUCCUUUGAAGGUAUUUAGACAUUAGAAAUGAAUGGUCUGCUUAUGAACCAUAGAUUUGAGAAACAAUUUUAGAUGAAAUUUCCAGUCUUAACUUUUUUGUAGAUGAAUUGUUUGGGCACAAUGUUAUGUUUCUAUAUUCUAGGACUAUUACUGAAUAAUACUAUUUAUCUCUUUAUACCAACCAACAUACUAUUAAAUUAGCUCUUUUUUGUUCAAACAAGCACUAAGAUGAUAGGAACACUGCGUGAACGUUGGAUGCAGAGUUGACCAUUGUCCAGUGAGCCUCUUGGGAGAACUGCGGUUCAGGAAGCUACGAGUCACGAAACAUAAAGCCUGUCUAUCAUGUCUAGCUUAGUCAAGGCCACAGCUUUGUUUCUCAGCAUUGAGUUUUUAAUAAUAUCAGCAUCUUAGGAAAAACACAUUUGUCCUCUAAAAGGAAACAGGGUUACCAAGAAAAGCUCUCUCUAUUCCUUCUCUCUUCCCUGAACUCUUGGCUUUAAUUGAAGAAGACAAUAUAUUAUGUAUGACACUUUCCGUAAGUAUUGCUGAUGAUUUUGUGAAAAGGAGGUGGGAGGAGGUUCGGCACUGUAUUUCCAGACUGGUCAUAGACUUGGUGACUCUGAGCAAGUCACUCGGCCUCUCUGUGCCUCCUUGGUUUCAUCUGUAAAAUGGGAAUAAUUAUAUUUGUCCUCCCCCACCUCCGCAGAAGACUGAAGGAUCAGUCAAAGAAGAGGGGAAAAAAUCUAUAAGGGGCAUUGAUCCCAAAGAUGGGCAGAAAAUAGAGGUAGCUGUUAUUAAAUAAUGAAGACUGCCUUAGGUAGCAGCUUAAUUUUAAAAGUGUCUUUGCCUGGUUCUGUAUAGUGAAUAUCAGCUAACAUUUUGAAGUAGAAGUUGAGAGUAGGUAGGUUUGAAAUUAAACAGAUUUUUAAUACUUAUGGACACAAAUAGUGUUAGGAAAUAUUUAUAGUGUAGAUGAUAGAUCUGAGUUCAAAUAUCUCAUUGUACUAAGCUAAUUUGCAGUGUCUUGUUAUUUGAGUUUGACUUCACUUCAGAGGGCUACACGUGGUCAGAUGAAACCAUAGUCACAGCAGUAUUUUUAGCCUAUCCUAGAAUCUCAGCGUUUCGGAGCCUGAGCGCUCACCCAGUGCAAUCUCCUAUCAGAAGCAAGGUUCCUUCUGGUGACGUCACUGACAGGUGCUCGUGCAGCCUCUUCCUGAAGAUGCUGGAAAAGGGAUAAUGCUGCUACCUCACUACUUUGAUGGGUACCUUCUGUUCAAGAAUUUCCUAAAACUCGGAACGAGUCACGUGUUACUUUGGAAGAUGCAAGCAUUUUACCUUUCAUAUCGAACACCACUCUCUAAAGGACAUAGGUGAAAUUCCUUUCUAUUCAAGAAAGGACCAAAAAGUGUUCUUCCGUGAAGUCUACAGAUAGCGUUUGCUUUGGGAGUAGAUGAUUUCUUCUUAUUUUGGUUGUAAACAUCGAUUUGAAUGGCAAUUAGAACAGGUUUUUAACCUCUUUGAAAAAACCCUCUGGGACAGACCUUGGAUGGAGCUACUCAACCGGCAUGUAAUUAGAAUUUUAUUUGCAUGGCUUUUUUUUUUAAGUUUCUCUAGAAGAGCAUAAAACAUUCUUAAGAUGCAAGGAAUGAAGUUAUUCUCACAUCAAGGAUCAAUUGUAUUUUAUAUCUGCCUUUCACGCCAUCUUCCUUUAUUUUUAUUAGUAUUCAUUCCCUUCAAAGCGAGUAACUUUUAUUUUUUGCUUGAUACCUCCUGCAUUUAGUAAGUAGUAGCGCCUCUUUACCUGCUUUCCUGAACCCCAUAUUUAUAAUACUUUAUGUUAUAUUUUUUAAAUUGAUUCAUUCUAGCUGGGCUGGAAUCUUCAAGUAUUAAUUUAUACUGGACAUUCCCUCUUCGGGGAUUAUUUAGACUAUCUAAACAUUACAUUUUUCUUUCGUUGCUAUAAAUAUGCAUAGUUAUGUCAAUGUUCUUUGAAUGCUUUAUUAUAGUGAUAAUUGGGGCUGCUAUUGAUAAUGGUAAACUAUAUGGAGUUAAGAAUUUUUAUACUAUGAACUAUUUAUUGAGAAUUUUCAGAAUUCCCUAGCUACUUGUCUUUAACACUUAUAAGAGGCUUGUAUUUUUCUCCCUUUGUGGCCUGAAAGUUUGUUUUCCCUUUGUUCAGGCAGGUCUGAAUGAGUUGUAUCUACUGGAAAACACACAUGUAUCCAAAAGUGGAUGUAUUGUAGAAAUGUGAUGUUUCCUUGCGUCGGGAGUUUGGCCAGAAAGUUUUCUGUAUGGAUUUCAUUUUUAACAAAGCAUAAGGGCUUCCUUUUUUAACCAACUUCUGUGUGUGUAAAGAUGUAUUUGUUCAAGCUUUAAGAAAAGAAUAAACCUGUCAUUGUUCAAA